GAGUAAUGUCUGGGAAACUGCCUGAUGGAGGGGGAUAACUACUGGAAACGGUAGCUAAUACCGCAUAACGUCGCAAGACCAAAGAGGGGGACCUUCGGGCCUCUUGCCAUCGGAUGUGCCCAGAUGGGAUUAGCUAGUAGGUGGGGUAACGGCUCACCUAGGCGACGAUCCCUAGCUGGUCUGAGAGGAUGACCAGCCACACUGGAACUGAGACACGGUCCAGACUCCUACGGGAGGCAGCAGUGGGGAAUAUUGCACAAUGGGCGCAAGCCUGAUGCAGCCAUGCCGCGUGUAUGAAGAAGGCCUUCGGGUUGUAAAGUAC
This 322-nucleotide ribosomal RNA is filed under the name Escherichia coli. Its description in RNAcentral is "bacterial SSU rRNA". It matches the Rfam family "Bacterial small subunit ribosomal RNA", at positions 108 to 433 of the family's 1533-position model. The record is from RNAcentral. RNAcentral also lists the same sequence under 3 other names. Lineage: Bacteria; Pseudomonadati; Pseudomonadota; Gammaproteobacteria; Enterobacterales; Enterobacteriaceae.